The submitters of this non-coding RNA (259 nucleotides) gave its source as unclassified sequences. The record is from Rfam.
CUAGAUACAAAUAAAUAGGCUUUUAUUAUAAAUAUAUGCACAACGUUUAUAGUAAAAGCAGUCAUAGCAGAGAAGGAAUCGAAUUAAAACCUUUAUCAAUAUGGCCAAAAUUGAUAAUAUUCCUUGCAAUAGCAUGUUAGGUUCGCAUGGUGCACUAUUGUGUUAUUAGUAACUAAGUAAGCUUACAAUCGAAAAUGUUUAACCAUAAAAGGGUAAAAUGGUGUAAGACAGUCUGAUACUAACUGAAAAAUAAGUAUCU